RNAcentral lists this ribosomal RNA (618 nucleotides) under uncultured bacterium. RNAcentral describes it as "bacterial SSU rRNA". It matches the Rfam family "Bacterial small subunit ribosomal RNA", at positions 28 to 614 of the family's 1533-position model. The record is from RNAcentral.
GACGAACGCUGGCGGCGUGCCUAACACAUGCAAGUCGAACGGAGAUAGUUAAUGAAGCUUGCGAUUUAGCUAUCUUAGUGGCGAACGGGUGAGUAACGCGUGGGUAACCUGCCCUUAAGACCGGGACAACAGCUGGAAACGGCUGCUAAUACCGGAUGUAUUGUCCGAGAGGCAUCUCUUGGAGAAGAAAGCUGGCCUCUGAAAAUGCUAGCGCUUAGGGAUGGACCCGCGUCUGAUUAGCUAGUUGGUGGGGUAAAAGCCUACCAAGGCGACGAUCAGUAGCCGGCCUGAGAGGGUAAACGGCCACACUGGGACUGAGACACGGCCCAGACUCCUACGGGAGGCAGCAGUGGGGAAUCUUCCGCAAUGGACGAAAGUCUGACGGAGCAACGCCGCGUGUAUGAAGAAGGCCUUCGGGUUGUAAAAUACUGUUGUUAGGGAAGAACGGCAUCUGUGUAAAUAAUGCAGGUGAUUGACGGUACCUAACGAGGAAGCCCCGGCUAACUACGUGCCAGCAGCCGCGGUAAUACGUAGGGGGCAAGCGUUGUCCGGAAUCAUUGGGCGUAAAGGGCGCGUAGGCGGCAAUAUAAGUCUGAUGUGAAAGUGCGGAGCUUAACU